Molecule: small nuclear RNA, 100 nt
Organism: Chrysolophus pictus (golden pheasant)
Lineage: Eukaryota; Metazoa; Chordata; Aves; Galliformes; Phasianidae
Source: Ensembl
CUGGUUCUACAGCAGAUAUACCCAAAGUGGAAUGAUACAGAAGCUAGCACUGCCCCUAGGUGAGGAUGACAAGCAAAUUCUUGCAGCAUUCCAUGUUUUU